This is a regulatory RNA element of Granulicatella elegans ATCC 700633, 146 nucleotides long. It matches the Rfam family "PyrR binding site". From Rfam's summary of the family: This family represents the PyrR binding site and terminator structure. The record is from Rfam. Lineage: Bacteria; Bacillati; Bacillota; Bacilli; Lactobacillales; Carnobacteriaceae.
AGGGCUUUUAAAUUCAUCCCGUGAGGUGAAAAAGGCGAUCAUAGUUCAAGUUUAUAUUUCUAGGAGAAUUUUUUAUGCAUAGAAAAAAUUUUCCUAUAUGAAAGCAGCCCUUUUGCAAACAAAAAUAAAUAGGGUUGCUUUUUUGU